Podarcis lilfordi (Lilford's wall lizard) is the source of this 68-nucleotide non-coding RNA. Lineage: Eukaryota; Metazoa; Chordata; Lepidosauria; Squamata; Lacertidae. The record is from the annotation of a GenBank genome assembly.
UGCUGGUCAGUGGGUUGAGCAUGAGACUCUUAAUCUCAGGGUCGUGGUUCAAACCCCACGCUGGGCAA